AGAGAAGAACGUUGGUGAGAGUGGAAAGCUCAUCAAGUGACGGUAACUACCCAGAAAGGGACGGCUAACUACGUGCCAGCAGCCGCGGUAAUACGUAGGUCCCGAGCGUUGUCCGGAUUUAUUGGGCGUAAAGCGAGCGCAGGUGGUUUAUUAAGUCUGGUGUAAAAGGCAGUGGCUCAACCAUUGUAUGCAUUGGAAACUGGUAGACUUGAGUGCAGGAGAGGAGAGUGGAAUUCCAUGUGUAGCGGUGAAAUGCGUAGAUAUAUGGAGGAACACCGGUGGCGAAAGCGGCUCUCUGGCCUGUAACUGACACUGAGGCUCGAAAGCGUGGGGAGCAAACAGGAUUAGAUACCCUGGUAGUCCACGCCGUAAACGAUGAGUGCUAGAUGUAGGGAGCUAUAAGUUCUCUGUAUCGCAGCUAACGCAAUAAGCACUCCGCCUGGGGAGUACGACCGCAAGGUUGAAACUCAAAGGAAUUGACGGGGGCCCGCACAAG
RNAcentral lists this ribosomal RNA (496 nucleotides) under uncultured bacterium. Its description in RNAcentral is "bacterial SSU rRNA". It matches the Rfam family "Bacterial small subunit ribosomal RNA", at positions 441 to 929 of the family's 1533-position model. The record is from RNAcentral.